RNAcentral lists this ribosomal RNA (253 nucleotides) under uncultured bacterium. RNAcentral describes it as "partial 16S ribosomal RNA". It matches the Rfam family "Bacterial small subunit ribosomal RNA", at positions 524 to 776 of the family's 1533-position model. The record is from RNAcentral.
UACAGAGGGUGCAAGCGUUAAUCGGAAUUACUGGGCGUAAAGCGCGCGUAGGUGGUUUGUUAAGUUGGAUGUGAAAUCCCCGGGCUCAACCUGGGAACUGCAUCCAAAACUGGCGAGCUAGAGUAUGGUAGAGGGUGGUGGAAUUUCCUGUGUAGCGGUGAAAUGCGUAGAUAUAGGAAGGAACACCAGUGGCGAAGGCGACCACCUGGACUGAUACUGACACUGAGGUGCGAAAGCGUGGGGAGCAAACAGG